This 3204-nucleotide ribosomal RNA is filed under the name Triticum aestivum (bread wheat). RNAcentral describes it as "partial small subunit ribosomal RNA". Lineage: Eukaryota; Viridiplantae; Streptophyta; Magnoliopsida; Poales; Poaceae. The record is from RNAcentral.
AUGGAGCCUUUAGUAUCUCUGCCAGGCGCACUGAAGCAAGCUGGCACACGCAGACCUUGUACUGGAUGCUCUGUGAAGGAUUUGUGUCUUGUUUCAAAACAAGGGUCAAUAGCUGAAGUGGAAUCUGCUUUGGCCUUGAUAAAAAAGAACGGUGGAAGCAUUGACGGUAGAAAUGCAUUUGGCCUUGGUGCCCUCCACCUUGCAACAUGGAGAAAUCACCUUCCAAUCGUCAGGCGGCUCCUAGAUGCUGGUGCUAAUCCAGAUGCAAGGGAUGGAGAAUCCGGUUGGAGCAGCCUUCACAGAGCACUUCAUUUUGGCCACUUGUGCAUUGCUGGUGUUCUUCUACAGUUUGGUGCAUCCCUCAAUUUGGAGGACACCAAGGGUCGUACACCUAUUGAUCUUCUCUCUGGCCCUGUAUCACAGACUAAUGGGGAUUCUCCCAAUUCAGUUGCAACGGAAGUCUUCAGUUGGGGAAGUGGAACAAACUAUCAACUGGGAACUGGCAAUGCCCACAUACAAAAACUACCUUGCAAAGUAGAUGCCUUGCAUGGGUCAUACAUCAAAACUGUUGCUGCAUCAAAGUUCCAUAGUGUAGCAGUCAGUUCUGAUGGUGAAUUAUACACUUGGGGAUUUGGUCGAGGUGGUCGUCUUGGACAUCCGGAUAUUCAGAGUGGCCAGACGACAGCUGUGAUUACCCCUCGCCAAGUGACAGUUGGAUUAGGCCGUAAAAAGGUGAAUGUUGUGGCUGCUGCGAAACAUCACACAGUGAUUGCUACAUCAGCUGGGGAAUUGUUUACCUGGGGAUCAAACAGAGAGGGUCAGCUUGGUUACCCUUCUGUCGAUACCCAACCAACACCAAGGCGUGUUAGUUCACUCAAGCAAAGGAUAAUUGCAGUAGCCGCUGCAAACAAGCACUCAGCAGCAGUUGCCGAUACUGGCGAAGUGUUCACAUGGGGUUCCAAUAAGGAGGGCCAGCUAGGCUAUGGCACUUCAAACUCGGCAUCCAAUUGCAUUCCAAGAAUGGUAGAGUAUUUGAAAGGAAAAGUAUUUAACGGUGUAUCUGCAGCAAAAUAUCAUACGUUAGUGUUUGGGGCUGAUGGUGAGGUGUUCACUUGGGGUCAUCGCCUCGUGACCCCUCGCCGUGUUGUAAUAGCUAGAUGUCUUAAGAAGGGUGGAAAUGCAAACGUGAAGUUUCAUCGUAUGGAGCGACUUCAGGUGAUCUCUGUGGCAGCUGGAGUGAUGCACAGUACUGCUCUAACAGCUGAUGGUGCUAUUUUUUACUGGAAUUCAUCGGAUCUGGACUUAAGAUGUCAACAGAUAUUCUCUAUGUGUGGACGGAAUGUAGUGAGCAUCUCAGCUGGAAAGUACUGGACUGCACUGGCUACAUCAACUGGUGAUGUUUUCAUGUGUGAUGCAAAGAAACGUAAGGAUGAAACUCCAGUAUUUACUCGAGUGAAUGGUGUUAAGCGAGCAUCAUCAGUUUGUGUUGGUGAAACACAUAUGCUUGUGCUUUCUAGUAUUUACCAUCCUGAGUAUCCACCCAAACCCAAAAUCCAAAGCAAAAAGCCCUCAUCAGAAUGGAGUGGUGUGAUGGAAGAGUUGGAUGAAGACAUAUUGUUUACUGAUGUCCAGCCUGAAACUGAUCUAUCUGUAACCAACAGUGAAAUGAGCAAAGGCAUACCCAGUCUGAAGAGCCUCUGUGAGAAAGUUGCAAUUCAGCAUAUAAUGGAGCCAAAGAAUGCUAUACAACUUCUUGAAGUUGCUGAUUCCUUGGAAGCCAAAGAGCUCAAGAAGCACUGUGAGGAUACAGCUAUUCGCAACCUUGAUUACAUCUUCACAGUGGCAGCUCCUUCAAUUAUGAAUGCUUCUCCUGAAAUUCUUGCAAAUUUAGAGAGAUUGCUGGAUGAAAAAUCCUCGGAGCCCUGGAGUCACCGCCGUCUUCCCACAAUGACAGCUACUUAUCCUGCUGUCAUUGAUAGCGAUGCAGAGGGAGAUAAUGCAGGAGGAUUCCCUAGGCUCAGGGACAGUCAGAAGCCUGCAUCAAAGUUGUAUGGAAUGUCAGGUUAUGGUAACUUCCUUCAGAAAGAAAGCAAUGCUGAGCAAGCUGUCUCCAAACAGAUCAGGGCAAUUCGCAAGAAACUGCAGCAGAUUGAGAUGCUCGAGGCUAAACAACUGGAUGGUCAUCAGCUUGAUGAUCAACAGCUAGCAAAGCUCGAGUCUAGGGCUUCCCUCGAAAGUGAACUUGCAGAGCUUGGCUUUCCAACAGAAGCAUUUUCAAGACCUUCAGUUUAUGUGCCAAACAAAAAAUCUGAGGGUUCUAAGAAACAGAAGAAGAAAUUCAAGCAGGCAGCACAAUCUGAUAUUACCUCUCUAAAGCAUGAGGACAAGGAGCAAAACCACAAUAAGGAGCUUCCAGAAGUGUUACCAACCCAUGGCUCUUCAGAAAAGGAACCAGUCAAACCAUCUGAUGAUGGCACUUCGAGUAACACAAAAGCCAUCUUUUGUCCAUUAGGGGACAAAGCUUCCCGGCCAACUUCAUCAAAGAAGAAGAACAAGAAAGGCGGCUUGUCAUUGUUUUUGAGUGGUGCUCUUGAUGACACCUCAAAGCUAAGCUUGCCUACUCCUGCUGUGCCUGUGACACCAAAGCAAGAAGGACCUGCCUGGGGUGGAGCUAAGAUAACGAAGGGACCUGCUUCCCUUCGUGAUAUUCAAAGCGAGCAGAGGUCGAAAACGAACGAGCUGAUGACGACGAAAGCAAAAGACCGCCACGAGGAUUCACCUGACAGUGCUGGGCUUUUGCGGCUUUCUUCAUUUAUGCCUGAUGCGUGUUCAAGUCCAAUAUCUGUUACACCUGCUCGUGCUGUUCUUGCUCACGAAGGGGAUAAGAGCACACCUCCUUGGUCAUCUUCAGCUACCUCACCCAACCUAUCACGACCUUCACUCAGGGACAUACAGAUGCAGCAGGAGAAACGGCAUCACAGCGUUGUCUCCCACAGUCCGAAAACCCGGACAUCAGGCUUUGCCAUACCAUCCCUGGGCGCAGCGCCAGAGGUUGUUGGCGUGAAGGACAACGUUCCCAACCGCUGGUUUAAGCCAGAGACUGACACCCCGUCCUCCAUCCGCUCGAUCCAGAUUGAGGAACAAGCGAUGAAGGACUUCAAGCGUUUUUACACCACCGUGAGGAUCAUGAAGCCACAGGUCUAG